AGCUCUUGAACGAGAAUUGCUUGAAGAGGAAGGGAGUCUCUGAGCAGGAGGAAGAGAUAAAGAAGGAUUUGAGGAGUAGAGGGUUAUGUCUGGUUCCAGUGUCCUGCACCCUGCAAGUUGGGAGUGACAAUGGAGCCGAUUAUUGGGCUCCAGCGUUCGGUGGCGGUGGUUUCCGGUAGACGACCGGCAGUGGGUCGAAGAAUUUGGUAGGGCAAGUUACAGCAUAACCCUUCAAGACUAAAAAAGAGGUCAGAAAAUUAAAGAUGGAGAGAGCUUCAAUAUGAAACUGAUAUAACAUCAUGAGCAGUCAAUCUGCUAAGGAAA
RNAcentral lists this unclassified non-coding RNA (324 nucleotides) under Hevea brasiliensis (rubber tree). The record is from RNAcentral. Lineage: Eukaryota; Viridiplantae; Streptophyta; Magnoliopsida; Malpighiales; Euphorbiaceae.